AAGCCCCGCAAGGGGUAAGUAGAGUGGCAAACGGGUGAGUAACACGUGGGUGAUCUGCCUCAGAGUGGGGGAUAACGACCCGAAAGGGUCGCUAAUACCGCAUAACAUCCUGCCUUUGGAUAGGUGGAGAUCAAAGUUGGGGAUUCGCAAGAACCUGACGCUUGGAGAGGAGCCCGCGGCCGAUUAGCUAGUUGGUGAGGUAACGGCUCACCAAGGCGACGAUCGGUAUCCGGCCUGAGAGGGCGGACGGACACACUGGGACUGAGACACGGCCCAGACUCCUACGGGAGGCAGCAGUGGGGAAUUGUUCGCAAUGGGCGCAAGCCUGACGACGCAACGCCGCGUGGAGGACGAAGAUUUUCGGA
RNAcentral lists this ribosomal RNA (365 nucleotides) under uncultured bacterium. RNAcentral describes it as "bacterial SSU rRNA". It matches the Rfam family "Bacterial small subunit ribosomal RNA", at positions 72 to 422 of the family's 1533-position model. The record is from RNAcentral.